ACUUUUAAUUUUUAACUCUCAUUUGUUGUAAUCUUCUUUUUUGUUUUAUUCUUUAUAGUCAUUUUUUAGUAAAAUAGUUUUGAUUUUUUGAAUUUUGGAGAGGGGAUUUAAAAUUUGUUUUUUAAACUGGACUAGUACCCAGGUAAUCAAAGUUUAUUAAUGCGGGAGUAAAGUUUUGUUUAAACCGAAAAAAUAUUGACUGACUUUGGAUUUUUCUUUGGAACAUGUAUAUUUGGAUAGUCCUCCUUAUAUUGGAAUUUUAUAGGCGCAUGUAUGAUUGUUUAGUUUUUAUUUUUUUUGUAACGCUCUUGUAUUUUGUGUAGAAAAAACAGAUAGAUACUUGGCUUAUGAGUUUCGUUUUUAUGUGUUACUAUUAUAAAUUUUUUUUGGAUGUUUUUUUAGUUUUUUGAUUGAAAUUGGAAAAGAAAGUAAUUUUUUUUUUAUGUUUUUAUGAAUUUAAAAGCG
Molecule: ribosomal RNA, 465 nt
Filed under: Cercopithifilaria shohoi
Lineage: Eukaryota; Metazoa; Nematoda; Chromadorea; Rhabditida; Onchocercidae
Description: partial 12S ribosomal RNA
Source: RNAcentral